AAGUCGUAACAAGGUUUCCGUAGGUGAACCUGCGGAAGGAUCAUUAACACGUAUCCAACGUUAAACCCCCCGUGAACCUUCAUUGUGCUCCCCCAUUCCGUUAGGACGCGGCAAUCCCUGGUAAAUCAUCGCCGAACAGUUUUGAUUCAGGGACCUCUGCAUGCUGGCAUUCGAAAGAAUGGCGCAGUAACGAUCGCUAGAGGCCGACACGGCCGGCGACCGGGUCACUGGGCUCACGCCCCCCUAUCACCUUUGCAUGAAAACGGGCCUGCGCUUAAUUGUGCGGCCACCAAACUCGAACAACUGUUAACAAUGGAUAUCUUGGUUCUU
RNAcentral lists this unclassified non-coding RNA (330 nucleotides) under fungal sp. Its description in RNAcentral is "partial internal transcribed spacer region". The stretch from base 1 to 46 matches the Rfam family "Eukaryotic small subunit ribosomal RNA", at positions 1786 to 1831 of the family's 1831-position model. The record is from RNAcentral. Lineage: Eukaryota; Fungi.